UACGUAGGUGGCAAGCGUUGUCCGGAAUUAUUGGGCGUAAAGCGCGUGUAGGCUGUCGUGCAAGUCGGGUGUGAAAGCCCCCGGCUCAACCGGGGAGGGUCAUUGGAAACUGGCAGACUUGAGUGCAGAAGAGGAGAGUGGAAUUCCAUGUGUAGCGGUGAAAUGCGCAGAGAUAUGGAGGAACACCAGUGGCGAAGGCGGCUCUCUGGUCUGUAACUGACGCUGAGGUGCGAAAGCGUGGGGAUCAAACAGG
Molecule: unclassified non-coding RNA, 253 nt
Filed under: uncultured Staphylococcaceae bacterium
Lineage: Bacteria; Bacillati; Bacillota; Bacilli; Caryophanales; Staphylococcaceae
Description: contains 16S-23S intergenic spacer region
Rfam family: Bacterial small subunit ribosomal RNA
Source: RNAcentral